AACGAACGCUGGCGGCAUGCCUAACACAUGCAAGUCGAACGAGAAAGCUCUUCGGAGUGAGUAGAGUGGCGCACGGGUGAGUAACACGUAGGUGACCUACCAUACAGGUGGGGGAUAACCAGGAGAAAUUCUGGCUAAUACCGCAUACGCAGUACAAAUUUGAAAGUAGUACUGGAAAGGAUGCUUCGGCAUUCACUGAAUGAUGGGCCUGCGUAGCAUUAGUUUGUUGGUGAGGUAACGGCUUACCAAGACUACGAUGCUUAGCUGGUCUGAGAGGAUGAUCAGCCACACUGGAACUGAGACACGGUCCAG
Molecule: ribosomal RNA, 312 nt
Filed under: uncultured Bacteriovorax sp.
Lineage: Bacteria; Pseudomonadati; Bdellovibrionota; Bacteriovoracia; Bacteriovoracales; Bacteriovoracaceae
Description: bacterial SSU rRNA
Rfam family: Bacterial small subunit ribosomal RNA
Source: RNAcentral